CACCAUCGUCAUGGUAUUGGAGCUUUGAUCAAUGUUUCUUAGUUGACUUACAGUUUUUUUUUUUAUUUUAAACAUUUUCCUUUUCAUUCAUAACUUGCUUAGUGUUUAUAUUUGCUUCUCCUUGUAUUUCCUUAUUGCUUUAUUCCCAAAGUGUGGGCCAACGACCCCUGGUGGACUGUGAAGCUACUGCAGGCCCACACCCUGCACCUGUGUGACAGCAGUGUCCAUAGCAACAUCUCCUUAGCAACCACAUUCCUUUCUUAUCUGCUCAUUCCGUAGGUGGGAGACAUAAAACAAAGUGACAAAAGUG
Molecule: non-coding RNA, 310 nt
Organism: Neolamprologus brichardi
Lineage: Eukaryota; Metazoa; Chordata; Actinopteri; Cichliformes; Cichlidae
Source: RefSeq, a predicted model, not a curated record